CGAGCAAUAAGAUGACAACAAAAGCACAGCAGACUCAAAGCGACACCAACAUUGAUUUGUUGACAGUAAACAAUCCAAAAUUAGCUACUCUGUUAAUGUGCAACAAUUCCAUUUUUUUUAUAUUUCUAUUGUUAUUUUGGGAUGAGGGUUAAACCUGUUUGUGACAUGUAAACAAUGAUAAUACGGCUGUUAUCCCAUUUGGUUUAUUUCCAAGAUUGG
Molecule: long non-coding RNA, 219 nt
Filed under: Lathyrus oleraceus (garden pea)
Lineage: Eukaryota; Viridiplantae; Streptophyta; Magnoliopsida; Fabales; Fabaceae
Description: Pisum sativum (pea) long non-coding RNA (PSAT_LNC005734)
Source: RNAcentral